CCUACGGGAGACAGCAGUGGGGAAUAUUGCACAAUGGGCGAAAGCCUGAUGCAGCAACGCCGCGUGAGCGAUGAAGGCCUUCGGGUCGUAAAGCUCUGUCCUCAAGGAAGAUAAUGACGGUACUUGAGGAGGAAGCCCUGGUUAACUACGGGCCAGCAGCCGCGGUAAUACGUCGGGGGCUAGCGUUAUCCGGAAUUACUGGGCGUAAGGGGGGCGUAGGUGGUUUCUUAAGUCAGAGGGGAAAGGCUACGGCUCAACCGUAGAAAGUCUUUGAAACUGGGGAACUUGAGUGCAGGAGAGGAGAGUGGAAUUCCUGGUGUAGCGGUGAAAUGCGUAGAUAUUAGGAGGAACACCAGUGGCGAAGGCGGCUCUCUGGACUGUAACUGACACUGAGGCACGAAAGCGUGGGGAGCAAACAGGAUUAGAUACCCUUGUAGUC
This 439-nucleotide ribosomal RNA is filed under the name uncultured bacterium. RNAcentral describes it as "partial 16S ribosomal RNA". It matches the Rfam family "Bacterial small subunit ribosomal RNA", at positions 338 to 795 of the family's 1533-position model. The record is from RNAcentral.